This 129-nucleotide non-coding RNA is filed under the name Gymnodinium catenatum. Lineage: Eukaryota; Dinophyceae; Gymnodiniales; Gymnodiniaceae. The record is from RNAcentral.
CGCCCUCGAUGCCCAGAUCGUGCAGCUGCGGGAGGAGUUGACCGGAUCCGACAUGCGCGUUGGCAUCAGUGGCGAGAGCAACGGCGGCGGCUACGCGACCAGCGGACGCGCCGCUGAGGUGACCGAGAA